This 483-nucleotide ribosomal RNA is filed under the name uncultured organism. RNAcentral describes it as "bacterial SSU rRNA". It matches the Rfam family "Bacterial small subunit ribosomal RNA", at positions 8 to 486 of the family's 1533-position model. The record is from RNAcentral.
AGAGUUUGAUCCUGGCUCAGAUUGAACGCUGGCGGCAUGCCUUACACAUGCAAGUCGAACGGCAGCACGGGGGCAACCCUGGUGGCGAGUGGCGAACGGGUGAGUAAUACAUCGGAACGUGUCCUGUAGUGGGGGAUAGCCCGGCGAAAGCCGGAUUAAUACCGCAUACGCUCUACGGAGGAGAGGGGGGGAUCUUAGGACCUCCCGCUACAGGGGCGGCCGAUGGCAGAUUAGCUAGUUGGUGGGGUAAAGGCCUACCAAGGCGACGAUCUGUAGCUGGUCUGAGAGGACGACCAGCCACACUGGGACUGAGACACGGCCCAGACUCCUACGGGAGGCAGCAGUGGGGAAUUUUGGACAAUGGGGGCAACCCUGAUCCAGCAAUGCCGCGUGUGUGAAGAAGGCCUUCGGGUUGUAAAGCACUUUUGUCCGGAAAGAAAACGCCGUGGUUAAUACCCGUGGCGGAUGACGGUACCGAAGAUU